Molecule: ribosomal RNA, 495 nt
Filed under: uncultured bacterium
Lineage: Bacteria
Description: partial 16S ribosomal RNA
Rfam family: Bacterial small subunit ribosomal RNA
Source: RNAcentral
ACUCAAAGGAAUUGACGGGGGCCCGCACAAGCAGUGGAGUAUGUGGUUUAAUUCGAAGCAACGCGAAGAACCUUACCAAGGCUUGACAUACAGAUGAAUAGUGCAGAGAUGUACUAGUCCUUCGGGACAUCUGUACAGGUGGUGCAUGGUUGUCGUCAGCUCGUGUCGUGAGAUGUUGGGUUAAGUCCCGCAACGAGCGCAACCCCUGUUGCUAGUUGAUAACAUUAAGUUGAUCACUCUAGCGAGACUGCCGGUGAUAAAUCGGAGGAAGGUGGGGACGACGUCAAAUCAUCAUGCCCCUUAUGUCUUGGGCUACACACGUACUACAAUGGCUAUAACAGAGGGAAGCCAAGCCGCAAGGUGGAGCAAAUCCCCAAAAAUAGUCCCAGUUCAGAUUGUGGGCUGCAACCCGCCCACAUGAAGUCGGAAUUGCUAGUAAUGGCAGGUCAGCAUACUGCCGUGAAUACGUUCCCGGGCCUUGUACACACCGCCCGU